GAAUUUUGGACAAUGGGCGAAAGCCUGAUCCAGCAAUGCCGCGUGCAGGAUGAAGGCCUUCGGGUUGUAAACUGCUUUUGUAAGGAACGAAAAGCUUUGGGUUAAUACCCUGGAGUCAUGACGGUACCGUACGAAUCAGCACCCGAUAACUACUUUCCAUCUGCCGCGGUAAUUCGUACGGUGCAAACGUUAAUCGGUAUUACUUGGCGUAAAGCGUGCGCAGGCGGUUUUGUAAGACAGAGGUGAAAUCCCCGGGCUCAACCUGGGAACUGCCUUUGUGACUGCAAGGCUAGAGUACGGCAGAGGGGGGUGGCAUUCCGCGUGUAGCAGUGAAAUGCGUAGAUAUGCGGAGGAACACCGAUGGCGAAGGCAACCCCCUGGGCCUGUACUGACGCUCAUGCACGAAAGCGUGGGGAGCAAACA
This 423-nucleotide ribosomal RNA is filed under the name uncultured bacterium. RNAcentral's name for it is "partial 16S ribosomal RNA". It matches the Rfam family "Bacterial small subunit ribosomal RNA", at positions 359 to 774 of the family's 1533-position model. The record is from RNAcentral.